AGAGUUUGAUUCUGGCUCAGGAUGAACGCUAGCGAUAGGCCUAACACAUGCAAGUCGAGGGGCAGCACAUGAAGUAGCAAUACGGAUGGUGGCGACCGGCGCACGGGUGAGUAACGCGUAUGCAACCUGCCUACAACAGGGGAAUAACCCGUUGAAAGACGGACUAAUACCCCAUAACACAGGGAUCCCGCAUGGGAAUAUUUGUUAAAGAUUUAUCGGUUGUAGAUGGGCAUGCGUUCCAUUAGCUUGUUGGUGAGGUAACGGCUCACCAAGGCAACGAUGGAUAGGGGAACUGAGAGGUUUAUCCCCCACACUGGUACUGAGACACGGACCAGACUCCUACGGGAGGCAGCAGUGAGGAAUAUUGGUCAAUGGACGCAAGUCUGAACCAGCCACGUCGCGUGAAGGAAGACGGCCCUACGGGUUGUAAACUUCUUUUGUAAGGGAAUAAAGUGUAGUACGUGUACUAUUUUGCAUGUACCUUACGAAUAAGGAUCAGCUAACUCCGUGCCAGCAGCCGCGGUAAUACGGAGGAUCCGAGCGUUAUCCGGAUUUAUUGGGUUUAAAGGGUGCGCAGGCGGGAGAUUAAGUCGGCGGUGAAAUUUUGCAGCUCAACUGUAAAAGUGCCUUCGAAACUGGUUUCCUUGAGUGUGGAUGAAGUAGGCGGAAUUUGUGGUGUAGCGGUGAAAUGCAUAGAUAUCACGAGGAACUCCGAUUGCGCAGGCAGCUUACUAAACCAUAGCUGACGCUCAGGCACGAAGGCGUGGGGAUCAAACAGGAUUAGAUACCCUGGUAGUC
RNAcentral lists this ribosomal RNA (798 nucleotides) under uncultured Porphyromonadaceae bacterium. Its description in RNAcentral is "bacterial SSU rRNA". It matches the Rfam family "Bacterial small subunit ribosomal RNA", at positions 8 to 795 of the family's 1533-position model. Lineage: Bacteria; Pseudomonadati; Bacteroidota; Bacteroidia; Bacteroidales; Porphyromonadaceae. The record is from RNAcentral.